This 847-nucleotide ribosomal RNA is filed under the name uncultured Chaetomium. RNAcentral's name for it is "SSU rRNA". It matches the Rfam family "Eukaryotic small subunit ribosomal RNA", at positions 20 to 877 of the family's 1831-position model. The record is from RNAcentral. Lineage: Eukaryota; Fungi; Ascomycota; Sordariomycetes; Sordariales; Chaetomiaceae.
GUAGUCAUAUGCUUGUCUCAAAGAUUAAGCCAUGCAUGUCUAAGUAUAAGCAAUUAUACAGCGAAACUGCGAAUGGCUCAUUAAAUCAGUUAUUGUUUAUUUGAUAGUACCUUACUACAUGGAUAACCGUGGUAAUUCUAGAGCUAAUAUAUGCUAAAAAUCCCGACUUCGGAAGGGAUGUAUUUAUUAGAUUAAAAACCAAUGCCCUUCGGGGCUCUCUGGUGAUUCAUAAUAACUUCUCGAAUCGCACGGCCUUGCGCCGGCGAUGGUUCAUUCAAAUUUCUGCCCUAUCAACUUUCGACGGCUGGGUCUUGGCCAGCCGUGGUGACAACGGGUAACGGAGGGUUAGGGCUCGACCCCGGAGAAGGAGCCUGAGAAACGGCUACUACAUCCAAGGAAGGCAGCAGGCGCGCAAAUUACCCAAUCCCGACACGGGGAGGUAGUGACAAUAAAUACUGAUACAGGGCUCUUUCGGGUCUUGUAAUUGGAAUGAGUACAAUUUAAAUCCCUUAACGAGGAACAAUUGGAGGGCAAGUCUGGUGCCAGCAGCCGCGGUAAUUCCAGCUCCAAUAGCGUAUAUUAAAGUUGUUGAGGUUAAAAAGCUCGUAGUUGAACCUUGGGCCUAGCCGGCCGGUCCGCCUCACCGCGUGCACUGGCUCGGCUGGGUCUUUCCUUCUGGAGAACCGCAUGCCCUUCACUGGGCGUGCCGGGGAACCAGGACUUUUACUCUGAACAAAUUAGAUCGCUUAAAGAAGGCCUAUGCUCGAAUACAUUAGCAUGGAAUAAUAGAAUAGGACGUGUGGUUCUAUUUUGUUGGUUUCUAGGACCGCCGUAAUGAUUAAUAGGG